AUCAAAUCAACUGGAGGCAUGCUACCUGCCCCAGCCAGGGCAGGGCGGGACGGGGGGGCACCUGCUAGCCCCUUGAAAAGCCAUCCUCCUGGCCGCCCCACAGACCAGGCGAGCAGGGCGGGGCGGGGGCGUCACCUGGAUUGAGGCAGCCGAUGGGAGAGGGAGGGGGGACGAUGGCCGCCCCGUCUAGCCGGCGGCGGCCCGCGCUGCCUCCUGCUCGGCCUUGGCGAGGUCGGCCGAGGCCAGGCUCCUCUCCGGCGGGCGCUGCGUGCAGAUCUGCAUGUCUGGUUGCCGCUCCCCUCCCGGCCCUUUCAUUCAUGCCGCACGUAGCCUGCUACUCUUAAAGGGGCAACGGCGGGGAGGGGGGGAGCGAGAGAGGUGGUCCCUCCCCCGCCUUGAUCUCACUUGCACAAGGGCGAAGAAAGGACCGAGCCCGGACCUCGAUCUGUUGGGGGGGGGGGGCAGAAAUCCGCGUCGCUACUGACCGCCUCUCCCCGCCCGAAACUGGACCGGCGGCCUUGGCGAGCUGGGGUCGGUCUCCGAAAUCUCAGAAUCGGAAAUGGAGCCCGGGUCAAGCCCUGCCCUUACGAGGAAGGUCCCGUCCUUGAGCGCUUCCUCUCGAUCCCCAUCGCUGACGUUCACAGCCACCCGGCAAGGCUCCUGGGUGGAGGUGCCUCCUUUCGGGCAGGAGCCGCCCAUGCUGGCCUGCGCGCCCUGCGGCGGCGACCUGGAAGCGGUCCUGUUGGAAGCCCAGAUGGAGGCGGAGCGCGGCGACGGUCCACUCCUGGCAUUGAAAGUACCCGCUGCAGAGGACCUGAGUGUGGGGCAGGUGAGUGCCAGCAGGGAAGCUGUUGAAGGAACACCAUGCACGCAGGCCAGCCCCUCGCCCGCCCAGCUUCCUUGGAGGUCAUUGCUUCAGCUAGCUGCAGGAAUCCAAAGCGUGGGAAGGCAUCACGGCCAGCCCCACAGGAUAGGCUUCCAGGAGGCCCCAAGAGCUGGCUCCAAAGGGGGAGGAGAGGGUCUUUCCCACAGAUUCUGUUUCUCCUUGCAGAGGGAAGACCUGGAGAGCCCGGUCCAGAGGGGGGUCCUGGCUUGGCCAUGGUCUAGCGCCCCUGAACAUCUCUCCUCCAAGGAGUCAGCCUGUAUUUCCCCUGUGGUAACGUGCCCCUCCUUGCUCAGCCCGGCUCUGCACAGGAGGAGGGGGCUGCGGGACCCCCAGCUGCUACUCCUCAUCAUCCCCUCUCUGCUACUCAGCCAUGUCGUGGCCCUAGGCCUUGGCAUCUGCAUCGGCAAGCGCCUGGCCACCUCCUCGGCAAGCAGCCUGUGAUGGGGCACAGCCAUCUCUCCCUGGAUCCCUCUCUUCAGAGCCCUGCUCCCCCCUCUCCCUGAAUGGCCAGCUGAGGAGAGAUCCCCAAGCCAGGAUCAUUUCCCCAGGACCUUCUCCUGCCUGAAAAAAAGAGAAGAAACGAUGGAAAGAGCUUGCAAUCCAAAUAUCAUGUGUGUCUCAAUCUUUCUGGGCCUCAGGGGCCACAUCCGAACCCCCCCCAAAGUCUUGAUGGCCUCAGCCCCCAAGCCCCUUCUCCUGUCGAGGGGCAAGGAUUCUGCAGCUCCCUUCUUUUCUGGGCAGCUUGCUGGGGAGGGUGGGCCUGGUUUUUGACUGACAUAGAGAAGAUAGAUUUUUAAAUGCAGCAUAUGAGUGGCUUGUGGAAAUCCCUAGCACUAGAAGCCAUGGCAGGUGGUAUGCAAUAUUACCAAACCCAUCCAGGCAAAUUGGGGGCUCAAUGAACGAUAGGGAAGGAGACAGAGAAGCCCAGCCCGUUGUCCGCGGACAGAUUUCAAGGCUGCUGAAAUGGGGGGGGGAGGGGGCUCUGGCUCUUCCCCUUCCUGCUCAGUCCUUGGACCCAAAUGUUGGAACACCAGCUGGUUAGCAGGAGGGCACUCAGGCCAGAACGGCCCCCUCCCUGCCACCGGCCGCGUGCAGGCUGCCUCGCUCACCCUCAGCAUUAGAACUCCGCGGACUGCUCUCCUCUGCAGACUUGACCGCGACGCCCUUCCUUUCCGUGAAUAAACCCUGGUGAAAAGCUCUUGGUCGCCCA
Molecule: long non-coding RNA, 2096 nt
Filed under: Pogona vitticeps (central bearded dragon)
Lineage: Eukaryota; Metazoa; Chordata; Lepidosauria; Squamata; Agamidae
Description: lncRNA (ENSPVIG00000003767.1)
Source: RNAcentral